RNAcentral lists this ribosomal RNA (458 nucleotides) under Berghia stephanieae. RNAcentral describes it as "partial 16S ribosomal RNA". It matches the Rfam family "Bacterial large subunit ribosomal RNA", at positions 1799 to 2597 of the family's 2925-position model. The record is from RNAcentral. Lineage: Eukaryota; Metazoa; Mollusca; Gastropoda; Nudibranchia; Aeolidiidae.
CCUGUUUAUCAAAAACAUAGCCAUUAGAACAUAUUGUAUGGUUUGACCUGCCCAGUGUUAUAGUGAUAAAUGGCCGCGGUACCCUGACCGUGCUAAGGUAGCGUAAUAAUUUGACCUUUAAAUGGGGUCAGGUAUGAAUGGAAGAACCGGGUUUAGCUGUCUCUUAUAGUAUUUUUUUGAAUUUACUAUCUAAGUGAAAAAGCUUAGUUUAUGAAGAGGGACGAGAAGACCCUUAGAAUUUUUUUUAAAGAUUAAUUAUUUGGUCUACGAUUUUAUUGGGGCGAUAAAGAAAGAUCUAGAAACUUUCUUUUUAUACUAGCCGACUAUAUUAAGCGAGAAUAAAUUACCUGAGGGAUAACAGCAUAAUUCUACAAUUGGGUUUGUGACCUCGAUGUUGGACUAGGAAACCAAUAGGCUAGCCGUUUGUUGUNUUAGGUUCUGUUCNAACUUUAAUUCCU